RNAcentral lists this ribosomal RNA (858 nucleotides) under uncultured organism. RNAcentral's name for it is "bacterial SSU rRNA". It matches the Rfam family "Bacterial small subunit ribosomal RNA", at positions 66 to 921 of the family's 1533-position model. The record is from RNAcentral.
ACGGUAGCAGGUCUUCGGAUGCUGACGAGUGGCGGACGGGUGAGUAACGCGUAGGAAUCUGCCUAUUAGUGGGGGACAACGUGUGGAAACGCACGCUAAUACCGCAUACGCCCUACGGGGGAAAGGAGGGGAUCUUCGGACCUUUCGCUAGUAGAUGAGCCUGCGUAGGAUUAGCUAGUUGGUAGGGUAAAGGCCUACCAAGGCGACGAUCCUUAGCUGUUCUGAGAGGAAGAUCAGCCACACUGGGACUGAGACACGGCCCAGACUCCUACGGGAGGCAGCAGUGGGGAAUAUUGGACAAUGGGCGAAAGCCUGAUCCAGCAAUACCGCGUGUGUGAAGAAGGCCUUAGGGUUGUAAAGCACUUUCAAUUGGGAGGAAAAAACAAGGGUCAAUACCCCUUGUCUUGACAUUACCUUUAGAAGAAGCACCGGCUAACUCCGUGCCAGCAGCCGCGGUAAUACGGAGGGUGCGAGCGUUAAUCGGAAUUACUGGGCGUAAAGAGUGCGUAGGCGGCUCGUUAAGUCAGAUGUGAAAGCCCUGGGCUCAACCUGGGAACUGCAUUUGAAACUGGCGAGCUAGAGUUGAGUAGAGGUAAGUGGAAUUUCAGGUGUAGCGGUGAAAUGCGUAGAUAUCUGAAGGAACACCAGUGGCGAAGGCGACUUACUGGACUCAAACUGACGCUGAGGUACGAAAGCGUGGGUAGCAAACAGGAUUAGAUACCCUGGUAGUCCACGCCGUAAACGAUGUCAACUAGCCGUUGGUCCUAUAUACAGGAUUAGUGGCGCAGCUAACGCAUUAAGUUGACCGCCUGGGGAGUACGGCCGCAAGGUUAAAACUCAAAUGAAUUGACGGGGGCC